UGGCUCAGAUUGAACGCUGGCGGCAUGCCUAACACAUGCAAGUCGAACGGUAACAGGCCUUCGGGUGCUGACGAGUGGCGGACGGGUGAGUAAGGCGUGGGAAUCUGCCCUGUAGUGGGGGACAACCCGGGGAAACCCGGGCUAAUACCGCAUAAGCCCUGUGGGGGAAAGCGGGGGACCCGAGAGGGCCUCGCGCGACCGGAGCGGCCGAUGUCCGAUUAGCUAGUAGGUGGGGUAAAGGCCUACCUAGGCGACGAUCGGUAGCUGGUCUGAGAGGAUGAUCAGCCACACUGGGACUGAGACACGGCCCAGACUCCUACGGGAGGCAGCAGUGGGGAAUUUUGGACAAUGGGCGCAAGCCUGAUCCAGCCAUGCCGCGUGAGUGAAGAAGGCCUUCGGGUUGUAAAGCUCUUUCGGCCGGGAAGAAAUCGGGCGGGUGAAUAAUCCGUCUGAUG
RNAcentral lists this ribosomal RNA (455 nucleotides) under uncultured bacterium. RNAcentral's name for it is "bacterial SSU rRNA". It matches the Rfam family "Bacterial small subunit ribosomal RNA", at positions 20 to 474 of the family's 1533-position model. The record is from RNAcentral.